UCGGCUGAGGAGGUAGGAACGUCCUUUGCAAAUCCGUCGAUCAGAGUUCCAACUGAGUCGCGGCACACACAGGCGAUUGAUCCUUCGAGUGAUCCAGGUUGCAACUUUGGGUCCGGAGGGUGCCUUCUAAAGAUGAAACGGUUUCUUGCUUUCUAGAUUUCCCAGAGGACUACCGAGACUAUCUCUAAACUAGUACAGGAGCAUCCCAGACUUCCCUCGUCCAUUUACAGAGAAGAAGUAAAUGUUCCGGGGUCUCCACAUGCGCUCGGCAUAUUGGGCAUAUUGGGUCAGAUUCUGUUCCAUAGCUGAGUUGGGGAUUGGUGAGAGGAAGAGGCACUUUGAGCUUCUAUUGUUUCAUUUUUGCGGAGAGUGUUGUAUCCGCUCUUAACUGUGUACUCUCCUUCCCUCGUACCUGUCCAGAUCAGUUUAUCUUCAUUUAUCUGUGGUCUAAUCUGUAUAGUGAGGAUCUCACGCACCACCUGUUCUUCGAAUAUUCUUCGUAGGACAUGUUCCUUCCAAGUGCUUGCCUCUUGAUUCACAAGUUCAUAAACCAAAGUUGGGUCUCCUUCAUUUGCCGGUCCCCCUAUAGUUCCCCUUUUGAGCCACUUAUCUUCCCUGAUAUUAAUUUUUUUGACCAUUACCAACUGACCACAUGACCGAGUCUUCAAUUGCCGUUCUCCCCAUAAGUAUGCUCUGCCAUCCCCAAGAUGGUCUGGAUCCCUUUUCUGCCUUCCAGAAGCACUUAGUUGGGUAAUAUAAGCCUUUUAGGACCUGACUGGACAGAUAUGUCUAGUUUUUAGCUAAUAGCCAAGCCUGUUUUCCAAGCAUGGCUUUGUUGAAAGCUAUUAAGUCCCUAAACCCUAGGCCUCCCCUGUCUUUUCUCUGUUUUAGCACUGCGGCCUUCCUCCAGUGUACUCCUUUUGUUGCUGUUUGGUUCUUCCACCAGAAAGCUGUUAUUUUUUGCUCAAUAGCCCGACAAACUGAAAGCGGGAUCUUGAAAAUUGACAUGGCAUAUUGAGUAGUGUUGAAAGAACUGGCCAUUCAAUCCAUCCGGACCUGAGGCCUUGGAGAUUCCAAGCUGGAAAGUUGCUUGUUUAACCUCAUCCAUCAUAACUUCUGCAAGCAGCCUACGGUUAGUUUCCUCCUUCACACUACAAGAGCAAUGCUGAAGAAUUGGGUCAAAUUGUCGAUGUCCAACUGAGCUUUGUAAGGCAGCAGCAGUAUUGGUCAUCCUGCUCGGGAGGCCCUCAGUUGCUGACAUCGAAGAAUUCCAUGCCUUAUUAAUAACUCCUCUGCAUUCCUCAUCUUCUAGCCAAAAUGCUUCGAAGAGCAUGGCUAGCCUCUGGUCUGCAUCUUCUUCCGACUCCAUGGAGGUGGUUUGACACCGGUGCUUCUGUAGCUUCCCGCACCAGAUGACGCAAGAAAACCUUACCUUCACAGGAGAGUUCCCGCUCCAGAGAGCGAUUUGAGGGUUCUGCUGAAGCGUUCAAAACUAUAGAUCUGUAAUGAGUAAAUGGGUUUUGAGUGGGUGGACUGUGAACGAAGCAUUAGGUUAUGGGGGGGGGGGGGGGCUGUUUGUGAUUCAAGGUGGCUGAGUCUGAAACGGGAAGGAAAACGUGGGGUAGUAAAGGUUUCCAUCUGCUUAACUACAGAGAGGCUCUUACGGGGGAGCUGUUGGUGAUUAAUGGUGACUGAGUCUGAAAGGGGAAAGAUGAAGUUUGGUAGUUAGGGUUUCCAUUUGCUAAGCUACCACAUU
Long non-coding RNA from Syzygium oleosum, 1756 nucleotides. RefSeq lists it as uncharacterized. The transcript has 7 exons. NCBI's taxonomy places the organism in Eukaryota, Viridiplantae, Streptophyta, Magnoliopsida, Myrtales, Myrtaceae. The record is from RefSeq and is a predicted model, not a curated record.